Molecule: ribosomal RNA, 227 nt
Filed under: uncultured bacterium
Lineage: Bacteria
Description: partial 16S ribosomal RNA
Rfam family: Bacterial small subunit ribosomal RNA
Source: RNAcentral
AACCUACCUCUAACUCGGGGAUAACAUUGCGAAAGUGAUGCUAAUACCGGAUAAUAUCUAAUUUGCUUCGGCAGUUUAGGUCAAGGGUGGCCUCUAUAUAUAAGCUACUGAUUGGAGAUGAGCCCGCGUACCAUUAGCUUGUUGGUAGGGUAAUGGCCUACCAAGGCCACGAUGGUUAGCUGGUCUGAGAGGAUGAUCAGCCACACUGGAACUGAGACACGGCCCAG